GAAACGGCAAACCGUCCGAAAGGGCGGGACGCAAAGUCAGGAAGCUAAAGCGGAAACGCCAAGCUCGUCCGACCGCC
Molecule: non-coding RNA, 77 nt
Filed under: human gut metagenome
Description: Cyclic di-GMP-I riboswitch
Rfam family: c-di-GMP-I riboswitch aptamer
About the family: GEMM was predicted in a large-scale screen for bacterial structured RNA regulatory elements. Genes associated with GEMM are involved in a diverse array of functions, including chemotaxis regulation, signal transduction, secretion and chitin.
Source: RNAcentral